CGUUUCACUAUUUUCCUGCUUGGAAACAACGAGAGAAGGCUAAGCUAUCGGAGCUAACUAAAAGAAGACGAAUGUCCUGGUGUCCGCGGUUGAGACGUCCUGAUAUCUUCUCCAAAAUCUCCAGAUACCUACAAGUUUGCUCCAGACAUUUCCAUUCUGGCAAACCGAUGUAUGAAAUGGGACCCAAUCCUGACUGGGUCCCAGUCCUGAAUAUGGGUCACUGAGAAGAGGUAAAUAAUGCCACAGGAGGCUGGAGAUGAGGAGCAAGUUGGAGAGGCUGACGAGGAAACGCCAGGAGAGGAGCUCAGCAAGGCUGCAGGAAUAUGUUGGAAGU
This is a long non-coding RNA of Poecilia latipinna (sailfin molly), 334 nucleotides long. RefSeq lists it as uncharacterized. The record is from RefSeq and is a predicted model, not a curated record. NCBI's taxonomy places the organism in Eukaryota, Metazoa, Chordata, Actinopteri, Cyprinodontiformes, Poeciliidae. The transcript has 3 exons.